ACGUGCGGCGCCUCCCAAGUGUUGGCCGCUGCGCAUGCGGACAGCCCACCCCCAGGAAAGAAUUAGGAGAGAAGCAAGGCAACCCCGGAAGCACGCCAAUGUAUAAAACCCCGAGUCAAAUGUCAAACGUCAAACCGCGCACUUGCAUCUCCCAGGUUUGUUGCCUGAUGUACAGCAAGUAAAUACACCGAGACACAGGCACACAGAAAGAGGUUUAAAGAUAAUAACAAGAUGAAUAGACCCCACAAUCUCAAGAGGACCUCUUUGGCAUUUGUUUUCUGAAGCCUUGGAAAGUCUUCAUUGGCCAUACUAAAAAAUGGUUCCUUUGCCCUUCACCUCCAACCACCCACCCAUGAUCAAGG
This is a long non-coding RNA of Symphalangus syndactylus (siamang), 362 nucleotides long. RefSeq lists it as uncharacterized. The record is from RefSeq and is a predicted model, not a curated record. Lineage: Eukaryota; Metazoa; Chordata; Mammalia; Primates; Hylobatidae.